This 1152-nucleotide unclassified non-coding RNA is filed under the name Hevea brasiliensis (rubber tree). Lineage: Eukaryota; Viridiplantae; Streptophyta; Magnoliopsida; Malpighiales; Euphorbiaceae. The record is from RNAcentral.
CUUCUAAUUCCAUGGACUUGACUGCCGAGCAUCUCUAAAUGCCGAUGUGCCACCAGAUGCUGCAGGGGAUGGAGAGGACGCAAUGUAAUUUGUUCCUGAUACAGAUACCAUUGGUACAUUUGCAGAAGGGACUUGGUGUCCUGUUGGAGCAAAGCGUGAUGGACUACUGAUGGUCCCUAAACUUGGACGAGAGGGGUAUGGAACCACAUUGUGCUGAAUGUAGGGAGGCUUUCUUAGAGGAGACUCUGAAGAUGGAGAUGUACUGCUCAUUCGUUGUAUGUGACGAGAAUGAUUACUAGGAUUUGAAACAUCUUCAGUUUCUCCCCCUUCCAUAUCACCACCAAGGUUUCCUUCUGAGCCCAUCCUAGGAGUAUUAUGCCUACUCAUUGACCCAGAAUCAUUAGCAAUAUCCCCUUGAAGAGGAACAGAAGGGCGAAUUCCCAUUCCUUGCAUGCUAUUUCGUCUCUUUAAUUCCUCCUCCACAUUCAAGAUCUGCUUCAGCACUUGUACCAGAUUAUGCUUCUUCGCAUUCAAAACCAGUAACUUCUCCUCAACUUCCUUUUUCCUUUUCUCUUUAUCAUUUACAACAUCAGCUUUGCGCGGCUCCGUAUUAGGAUUAGCUGACAAAUCCAGCUUUUCAGGCUGAAAAUUCCCAUCGGCGUUAACUGCCUCAUCAUCGCCUUUCUCAGCAGGCGACAAAUCCAACAAGCCCUCCGGUUUAACCGAACAUUCACCAAAAUCCAAUCCUUUCUGAUCCUUGACCUCCUUAGAAGCUGAACCUUUGGAAGUCCCCUCCUCCUCUUCACGAUUAGUCCCUUCGCCGGCCUCCAAGUUAAGCGCAAUUGGAUCCACGUUCUCCUUUGGAUCAGUUUUAGGGUUAUGAUUAGAAGUGGUGGCGAUGGCGUUGGGGGAAGAGGCGAGGCGAGAAAGGGCUUUGGAGCGGCGGGGUAGGAGGGGUUUGAAGUCUUUGAGAGAGAUUUUGCGGACUGGCAUUGGCCAUCGACGAGGUACGUCCGGGACUCUGUGGAGGUUCCCUCUGUAAAGCGAAAUCGCCACCAUUUUUCCCUUUCUUCGUAUAAGAUUCUGUGUGCCAGCGCCUGUGCUUAGAUCAAAGAAGAGGCCGCCAUUCGCUGCCGCUGAUUUUCUCUCUCG